RNAcentral lists this ribosomal RNA (448 nucleotides) under uncultured bacterium. Its description in RNAcentral is "bacterial SSU rRNA". It matches the Rfam family "Bacterial small subunit ribosomal RNA", at positions 330 to 792 of the family's 1533-position model. The record is from RNAcentral.
CCCAGACUCCUACGGGAGGCAGCAGUGGGGAAUAUUGGGCAAUGGGCGAAAGCCUGACCCAGCAACGCCGCGUGAAGGAAGAAGGCUUUCGGGUUGUAAACUUCUUUUGUCAGGGACGAAGCAAGUGACGGUACCUGACGAAUAAGCCACAGCUAACUACGUGCCAGCAGCCGCGGUAAUACGUAGGUGGCAAGCGUUAUCCGGAUUUACUGGGUGUAAAGGGCGUGUAGGCGGGACUGCAAGUCAGAUGUGAAAACUCAGGGCCCAACCCUGGGACUGCAUUUGAAACUGCCAUACUGGAGUGCCGGAGAGGUAAGUGGAAUUCCUAGUGUAGCGGUGAAAUGCGUAGAUAUUAGGAGGAACACCAGUGGCGAAGGCGGCUUACUGGACGGUAACUGACGCUGAGGCUCGAAAGCGUGGGGAGCAAACAGGAUUAGAUACCCCAGUA